Long non-coding RNA from Dromaius novaehollandiae (emu), 1450 nucleotides. RefSeq lists it as uncharacterized. NCBI's taxonomy places the organism in Eukaryota, Metazoa, Chordata, Aves, Casuariiformes, Dromaiidae. The transcript has 4 exons. The record is from RefSeq and is a predicted model, not a curated record.
UGAUCUUUUUCGUGACAGCAGAAUCACCUGAACUGGGUUGCUUACAGCUCAAAAUAGAAUUUGCUUGGGAAAUAAGAAUGCAAUGAUCUCUUAAUCUUCAAGUGUGGUUCAAAAGUUUUGGCGGGGAAGGCACUAAAAGAAUAUGGCUGUGUUCCAGGAAUGAAAAAGAAGUAUUGUCACGGUGAAAAUAAAGUGAUGACCAAUGAAUAAAAAGAAGAUCAAGAUGUCUCAGAAACUGUUGGCCAAAUGCAAUGCAAUAAGGAUUGUUUCAUUAUGAAAGAUGAUGGGGCAAUGGACAUAAGGCAGGGUGGGCAGAAAUUCUGCCAUCUGGCAUGGGUUGUGAAACCAUGGUUUGGGCAUCACCACAUUUUGGAAAGAAGGCUGUUGGACUCUCUUUAAGACCUCAAGACUAUCAUACUGGUAGAUAAGAACAAGUUACCAUAGUUAAAGUCAGCCCACUGCCAGCUGAGGCCUGACACUGACCAUUGCUUCCAAAGCUAAAGGAAGAACGGAAACUUUCCCUUGGGAACCAAUACCAUUUACUAUAGUCAGGAAAGAGCUUCAUUUGCUAUCCAUGUACAUGCCUUGCAGAAACAAAGAUGCCUUCAUCUCAAAAAAUAAAGAGAAGAAAAACAGAUGAGGAAAUAAAAUCUUAGCUCAUGACCAGAUUACUUCCUGCAGGAAUGUGCAUUCUUAUUUUGAUUCUGAUACCUAUCACUGUAGAAGAUAUCUUUGUUCUACUUUGUAGUAUUUUACCAAAAAGGAAUAGUGUUCCUUAUAACCAUGAUGAUUUAAGGACAUGAAUGAGGCAAGGGAGAGGACAUGUCUUUUAUUAGGUCAACUAAUAUACUGAGAAAAAGAUUAUGUUUGGAAUUUGGCACCUUUGAUAAGGGGAUGCCAAGCCCAAAAGCGUGUCCAUUUUAUCCAACUACAUCACUUCACCUAACAAAAGACACACCUUCCUCCAAAAUACUGGCAUCUUUUAAGUUCUGCUUAUAUGUUUUUUGUGUCUGUAUCUAAUUCUAGAGGUUGCUGUUAAACCACUGAUGGUUCUUCAUGCUUCUCUUAAUUUCAGUCAUUCCUUUAUACUUGCUGAACUGCUUGGGUUUUACUCCAUAAUAAAAAUAUCAUCCAUACCUGGCAGACAUCUCCUUAGAAGACUGCAGUUUUGAGUAUAAGCUAUCUAGCUGAAGUGUACUUUGAUAAUACUGAAUGGUCUGUUAUGUGUAAAUAGUUUGCUUUAUAUUAAUUAAUUUUCAUUAUUGCUAUCUUAAUUUAGCACUCAGGAGCUGUGAUUAUUUCUACCUGCAUUCCAGCUCAAAUCAUCACCAAAAAAGUUAUGUUUUUAGAACCUUUCAUCAUGGAGUGAAUAGACGUAACCUAUCGUUACUGUGGCAAUGUAUGGAGCUUUAAAGCUAGAUAAAGGGAGCUAGUGAAAGAAUUACUAAUU